UUCAAUAUCUUGUGUUAUCCCAAUAUCCCUAGGAGGCCUCAUUGGUGGUUCAUCAUCACUUUGUGCCUUCUUUUUUUCUUUCCUCGAACCAUAAUGCCGCAACAUUAAAGCAUAUCUCGUGCGAAGAAGAUCUGGAUCAAAGUUGAUAGUUGGAACACUGUCAACAGUUAGAACAUACACAUAAAUUACUCUUGCCAUGUAUAUUUUGAGAACGCAACACCUAUACAACAUGAAAAUACAAUUAUAUGUCUAAACAGUGCAGCAUAUGUAUUUAAGAAUAUACAUCCUAAAAGUUACAUUACAUCUUAAAGUAACAUCACUAGUUCAUAACUUAGUUAGCAAACAUCAAUAUAUAAACAUUGUCAUUUACUCUUAAUAAACAUAUACAACUGUGUAAAAAAUAUAAAUAUUUGCAGUACAAAUAAGAAAAUACAUUUCUAAAAGAUAACAAAUACAUUUCAUAUGAUUCUAAACAAAAAAAUUACAUAUGUAUUUUAUUUAUACAUAUUUUGUCCAAAUAUCAUAUUUAUCAAUAAACAAAUUACAUAUGUAUUUUGGGCAAUACUCGUGCCACGUAUAUUUGAUCACGCAUGAUCUAUACAACAAAAAAAAUAUAAUUAUAUGACAAAACAGUGUCUUAUAUGUUUUUAUGAAAUACAUCUUAAAACUAGUUUAGACAUGUCACACCCCUCUUUUCGCUCAAAGGAAUCGAGUCGAAGGAUUUUUUCAAUUAAAGUGACAAUAUUGAGUAGGAAUUAUUUUUUAAUUAUGGAGUCGCCACUUGGAAUUGAAUUAUGGUGUUCGAGGUCACCUUAUUAGAUUCCUAGUCAAAAGAAAAUAACUCUUAUUGUGGUCUGCAAAAAUAGAAGACCGGGUAAGGAAUUCUGUUGACCGAGGGGAAGGUGUGAGGCACCCCUUGAGUCCUGUGGUUCUAGCACGGUCGCUUCAGUGACUUACACUUAACUAAAUCUAUUUCGAUAAAUUGUGUUAAGGCCUAAAUUCGCUCAUUUUAUUAUACUGAAAACUUGUGUAUUAUCUUAUAUUAAAUAAAUCAUGUGAAAAUUAAUUUUUGAAAAAUAUAUGUCAAAGUACAUUAUAGCAUCCUUGAAUUUUAAAAUGUCUCAGAAAGAUGCGUACACCGCAUUCUUUAGAGACGAACAUUUUAAAACGUGCCUAAAGUUCAUUUAGUGUUAAAAAGCAUUUGUUUCGUCUCUUGUAAACUCGAAACAAUUUUACAUUAUCGAUUUUUAUUCUUUUUCUCUCUUUAUUUUGCAAUGAAUUUUGGAUUAUUCCGCAACUCGUUUCGCUCCCUUACAAAUGAGCUUAUCUCUUUUUUUUUUUCUUUUCCGCGAUGGAUUUUGAAUAAAUCCACAACUCAUCUCAAUUAAACUCCAUCGAGUUAAUUCAUUUAGACCUUAAGCGUAGUUAAUUUAUAGAAUAAUAUUAAAGUCCAAACAAUUAGAAGCCCGGGUUAUCUUUAUCAAAGUUAAAUAUACGUUUGAUGAGCCAAGUCUUAAAAAAAAAAAAUGUUUGGAGUAUCUUCAAACAAUUCCAACAGAAAAAAAAUUAUGACCAUGACUAGUAACGUUACUAAAUCGUGGCAUAAUUAAUGAAUUCAUAAAACACAUUUAAAUUAGCAUUGAAUUCAUGUAGAAAGAACCUUAAAUACUCUACCUAACAGAAAAAUAAAUUGCAUUUUUGCUAUGAGCAAUGAUUCAUUUAGUUUAAUCUCAAAUUACGCUUCUAGUGGCUAACUUAAAUCCAUAUAAAAUUUAAUGUAACUAACAAGAUAAAAUACCAACCUUCAGUUAUUCAAUUAUUAACAAGCACUAAAGACUAACAUCUUAAAAAUCAAAUUACCCAAAGCUAUACAUGAAUGUUUUGCCUGAGAUACUACUUAUUUCCCAUGAUUUUUAGAAUGCUUAAUUCAUGAAUAAAAAUUAUUUUAAGAACACACUAUGUGAAGUGCUGAGAAAACACCACACUCACUUAAUCAUUCAACCAAACUGAUUAAGUUUCAAAACACUAUAUGGAGUGUCAAGAAACACAACGAUAUACUUAUAAGAUGUACUAAACGGGAUAAAAAAAAUAACACUACUUCAAACCAAGAUCCAACAUAAGUAAUCCAAAACGUAUUCUAAAUAAAAAAUAAAAUUAAAUCGUUUCAAACAACAUUUUGUUCCUGUUUCUAUUCACAAUAACAUUUAUAAAAAUAGCAGUACAAGAUUGGAUAAAAACCUGUGUGGUAGAAUAACUAAAGUAGAAAUAAGGAUGCGUUCACCGAAAACUCAACGGAAACCAAUCUUGAUUCUCUUCCCCUUUUUAAGGUGUUCUCUGAUUUUCUUCUCUAGUUGAUUUUCAUUCUCUUUGAUGUUCACUCUAAUUUUUUUUGACUGAUGCAAUAUUGAUGUUGUAGUGUUUGAU
Molecule: long non-coding RNA, 2424 nt
Filed under: Capsicum annuum
Lineage: Eukaryota; Viridiplantae; Streptophyta; Magnoliopsida; Solanales; Solanaceae
Description: long non-coding RNA (CANN_LNC006112)
Source: RNAcentral